ACUGUAGCGCAAUGGUUAACGCGUUCGACAUCUCAUCCAGGGUGGUGGGUUCGAAUCCCACCUGAAAUG
This is a non-coding RNA of Trichonephila clavipes, 69 nucleotides long. The record is from the annotation of a GenBank genome assembly. Lineage: Eukaryota; Metazoa; Arthropoda; Arachnida; Araneae; Nephilidae.